RNAcentral lists this ribosomal RNA (302 nucleotides) under Quercus trojana. The record is from RNAcentral. Lineage: Eukaryota; Viridiplantae; Streptophyta; Magnoliopsida; Fagales; Fagaceae.
CUCCUGGGAAGUCCUCGUGUUGCACCCCUCUCUUUUUCUUCGCAUUUUUUUUUUCUCGUUGGGCUUAUCGUUUACGUCGGUCCAGCACGUUCGCUUUGUAGGCUUAGCCCGCCCCAGGCCAAAAACACGAGCCGCAGAUCUCGUUUUGGGAGCUAAAGCGUCGCGGCGACGUCGAAAUCGGCGGAAGCCCCUCGGGUUGCGCCUCUCCGGCGUUAAGGUGCACCGUUGCGUUCGGAUCCUUUUAUAAGAAUUAAACGCGCUUAUGCUGAUGGGUGCGAUCAUACCAACACUAAUGCACCGGA